RNAcentral lists this ribosomal RNA (468 nucleotides) under uncultured bacterium. RNAcentral describes it as "partial 16S ribosomal RNA". It matches the Rfam family "Bacterial small subunit ribosomal RNA", at positions 28 to 507 of the family's 1533-position model. The record is from RNAcentral.
GACGAACGCUGGCGGCGUGCUUAACACAUGCAAGUCGAACGGACAGGCCCUGCUUUUGUGGGGUUCUCGAGUGGCGAACGGGUGAGUAACACGUGAGUAACCUGCCCUUGACUUUGUGAUAACUUCAGGAAACUGGGGCUAAUACCCGAUAUGAGCUCCUGCUGCAUGGUGGUGGUUGGAAAGUUUCGGCGGUUGGGGAUAGACUCGCGGCUUAUCAGCUUCUUGGUGGGGUAGUGGCUUACCAAGGCUUAGACGGGUAGCCGGCCUGAGAGGGUGACCGGCCACAAGGGGACUAAGAUACGGACCAGACGCCUACGGGAGGCAGCAGUGGGGAAUAUGGCGGAAUGGGCGGAAGCCUGAUGCAGCAACGCCGCGUGCGGGAUGACGGCCUUCGGGUUGUAAACAGAUUUCGCAUGUGACGAAGCGGGAGUGACGGUAAUGGGUAAAGAAGCAACGGCUAACUACGUG